AGAAGUGCUCUCUAAUAAAAAUGUCAGAGUGCACGACCUGGUUUUUGUUUUUAGUUUGAAAUGGCAGUCAGAUGUCCUAAAGCACGGUACAGGAGAUGUUUAAACCUUUAAAUAUCUUAGAAAGUGCUCCUGUUGCAGUCACUCCAGGUUGCGUUCUCCUUAUGAGUUUGGAAGGGAAAACUUCUGUGUCCAUCUCCACUCAACCACAGGGAUUCCAUCCUGCAUCCCAGCAGAGGAAGAAGCUGAAUGCUGCUAGACCUCACAGCUGUGUCUGGUGCUGCAGGCAGCUGAUGAGAACAGAGGAAGGAGCAGAUGAUGACACCAAAUCCUGCCCUGGAGCUGGGCAGGGCUCAAGGAGCAGCCCCGUGUGGAGAAGCAGAUGGAGCUCUGCAAAGUAUCAGCAUGCCGAAUUUUAUGGAGCAUUUCUGGAACUGAGGGACACCUAUCUGGGAAUUUCCAGCAUGCAGGUGGUAAAACACUGACUGCUAUGAACUUCAUCAGGAGGAAAAAAAAAAAAAAAAAGGAAAAAGCUGUGGUUUGGAAGCAGCUGGAUGGCAAACUGCAGGCUGGGAUGUGGCUGCCAAAACCACCACAAGGAGACUGGGGCAUAGAGGCAUUUGUGGAGCAUUCUGUUUGCUGAUUGCUCGUGGAAUUUCAGUGUCUGGAUUUCUUUACUUCAACUUUUCCAUUCUUCAGACUUGAGCCAAGUUGGAAGAGAAGAGGGGGAUCUGCCAGGUGGCUGCAUCUUGGAACACAGGCCUUGCUUUCCUGUGCCAUUUUGGAGCAGUCCUGUGUGUGGGAGAAGUACAGCUGUGGGACGCCUGAUGAAAAGAGGAAAUGGUUAGCUGGUAGCACAGGAGCCUCGUGCAAGAGGAAGAAACGUAGAAGAAAAGAAAUUGCAGUGCAGUUUCUCUGCCGAGGGAUAUCGACUGUAACAUUUACUCUGUGUCUGAGCAUGGACCCUCAGCUGUGCAGGGGGACACCAAGCCAAGGAAGGAUAUAAGGAACCCAGGCUAUGGAAUUUAUUUCUCCAGAAAAGCCUGACAAGGCCUGAGGUAAUUUUCUGUGCUGUGCAGUAAUCACUCCCUCAGUGCAGGGAACAAAUGGACACCCAGCUCUCCGUGUAAGUCACGGCCUGGUGCUGUUUCCCCUGGGCCCCAGGCAGAGGGACCGGGAGAUCCCAGCCCUCCUGCACGGCUCAGGUGUGUCCUGCACUACCUGCACCAGUGAGGACACCCUGCAGUGGGAAGGGCCAUUCUGUGACUCCUCACUCUCUGCCUUGGCUCUGUCCUGGCCUGCUGCCAUCCCAGCAGCACCACGGAGCAGGCGGAGCAAAUCCUGAAGACUGCGAGCGCCAGAAUCUGCACGGCUAAAAGAGGGCAGCAGCACCCCGGUAACGUUUGUCUGCUGAUGGAGACUCAGCAAGAGAGCUUGGGCCACAUCUCCCUUGGCUGAGUACACAUUGUUUGUCAGGCAGAAUGCUCUCCCGGCCUUCUAUGCUCCCACCAAACCAUUCAGUAAAAGGAUAAUAUUUUUCUUCCU
Ficedula albicollis (Collared flycatcher) is the source of this 1542-nucleotide long non-coding RNA. RefSeq lists it as uncharacterized. Lineage: Eukaryota; Metazoa; Chordata; Aves; Passeriformes; Muscicapidae. The record is from RefSeq and is a predicted model, not a curated record. The transcript has 8 exons.